AGUGAACGCUGGCGGCGUGCUUAACACAUGCAAGUCGAACGAGAACGGAUCUAGCUUGCUAGAUUGUCAGCUAAGUGGCGCACGGGUGAGUAAGAUAUAGGUAAUAUGCCUUCUACUAAAGAAUAACAAUUAGAAAUGAUUGCUAAUGCUUUAUAUGCCUUUUAAUCAUAAGAUUGUAAAGGGAAAGAUUUAUCGGUAGAAGAUUGGCCUGUAUAGUAUCAGUUAGUUGGUAAGGUAAUGGCUUACCAAGACAAUGACGCUUAACUGGUUUGAGAGGAUGAUCAGUCACACUGGAACUGAGACACGGUCCAGACUCCUACGGGAGGCAGCAGUGGGGAAUAUUGCACAAUGGACGAAAGUCUGAUGCAGCAACGCCGCGUGGAGGAUGACACAUUUCGGUGCGUAAACUCCUUUUAUAUAGGAAGAUAAUGACGGUACUAUAUGAAUAAGCACCGGCUAACUCCGUGCCAGCAGCCGCGGUAAUACGGAGGGUGCAAGCGUUACUCGGAAUCACUGGGCGUAAAGAGCGUGUAGGCGGAUAAAUAAGUCAGAAGUGAAAUCCUAUAGCUUAACUAUAGAACUGCUUUUGAAACUGUAUAUCUAGAAUAUGGGAGAGGUAGAUGGAAUUUCUGGUGUAGGGGUAAAAUCCGUAGAGAUCAGAAGGAAUACCGAUUGCGAAGGCGAUCUACUGGAACAUUAUUGACGCUGAGACGCGAAAGCGUGGGGAGCAAACAGG
This 736-nucleotide ribosomal RNA is filed under the name uncultured bacterium. RNAcentral's name for it is "bacterial SSU rRNA". It matches the Rfam family "Bacterial small subunit ribosomal RNA", at positions 28 to 776 of the family's 1533-position model. The record is from RNAcentral.